CACAGUUGCCUGCCCUGGGCGGGGGCGAGCGCGUCCGGUUUGCUGGAAGCGUUCGGAAAUGGCAACUUGCGCGGUGGAGGUGUUCGGGCUCCUGGAGGACGAG
This 103-nucleotide small RNA is filed under the name Pan troglodytes (chimpanzee). RNAcentral describes it as "processed transcript". RNAcentral also lists the same sequence under 1 other name. Lineage: Eukaryota; Metazoa; Chordata; Mammalia; Primates; Hominidae. The record is from RNAcentral.